UUUUAUUUCUCUCUAUACCAGUGACAGAAGAAUCUCAAGCUGUUAUUGCUUUCCAGUGACAGAACCCAGAUAACCAAAUGAUCGAGCUCUUCUGUUAAAAGCCAGCCUCACCAUGACAAGUGCUGUGGAUUACUAUUAAGAGUCUAAACUGUCUGACUGAAUGUGGAUACGGUAUUUCUGUAAAGGGCCCAAAUAAGUAAGCAACAGCUUUUCUACAGGGAGUGCAUGCUUGCUAGAGACAGAUGGCUGCAGAUACAGAGAAGGAAGAGACUGCAAUCAACAGGAAAGCUGAGAACAUCGCACAUGCUCUGAAAAGGAGAAUGCAAAAAAAGAUCCACUCAUCCCACUGACAUGGUCUGAACCCCAUGACCCAGGGAGGUCAAGUCUUCUUAAAGAUGUUGACAAAACAAGGACCCGAACAGGAGAUUGCUGCAGAAUGGAUGAGGCCAUUUGAAGAAUGGAGGACACUCAUUUAUCAGUCAAACUGCCUGGAGUGAAAUCGUGGGCACAUCACACCCAAGUCAAGACAACUCACUUAUUACAUAAACCACACGAUCUCUGCUGGAGGGACCAUGGACUUCCCAGUCUCUUAAGCACCUGAAAUGGCUUUUGUAAAACAAGACAAAAGAUGCUAAG
Tupaia belangeri chinensis (Chinese tree shrew) is the source of this 636-nucleotide long non-coding RNA. RefSeq lists it as uncharacterized. The record is from RefSeq and is a predicted model, not a curated record. The transcript is spliced from 4 exons. Lineage: Eukaryota; Metazoa; Chordata; Mammalia; Scandentia; Tupaiidae.